RNAcentral lists this ribosomal RNA (233 nucleotides) under Penicillium glabrum. RNAcentral's name for it is "partial large subunit ribosomal RNA". It matches the Rfam family "Bacterial large subunit ribosomal RNA", at positions 626 to 845 of the family's 2925-position model. Lineage: Eukaryota; Fungi; Ascomycota; Eurotiomycetes; Eurotiales; Aspergillaceae. The record is from RNAcentral.
AAGUUAAUCUUAGAUGCAAGCAAUGAACCUAAAAAUUUUGUAUAAAACAAAAAAAAAAUUAGUAGUAUUUGCUUAGAUAAACCAAUUAUGAAAAAAUGAAAAAGUAUCUAGGAUUAGACCCGAAGGCUAGUGAUCUUACCAUGGUCAGGGUUUUAAAAGCCCGAACGGGUUAUCGUUGUAAAGAUAUCCGAUGAACUGUGGUAAGUUAGUGAAAGACAAAACUGACUAGUAUA